This 467-nucleotide ribosomal RNA is filed under the name uncultured bacterium. RNAcentral describes it as "partial 16S ribosomal RNA". It matches the Rfam family "Bacterial small subunit ribosomal RNA", at positions 28 to 507 of the family's 1533-position model. The record is from RNAcentral.
GACGAACGCUGGCGGCGUGCUUAACACAUGCAAGUCGAACGGAAAGGCCUCUUUCGGGGGGUACUCGAGUGGCGAACGGGUGAGUAACACGUGAGUAACCUGCCCUUGACUUUGGGAUAACUUCAGGAAACUGGGGCUAAUACCGGAUAGGUGCUCCUGCUGCAUGGUUGGGGUUGGAAAGUUUCGGCGGUUGGGGAUGGACUCGCGGCUUAUCAGCUUGUUGGUGGGGUAGUGGCUUACCAAGGCUUUGACGGGGAGCCGGCCUGAGAGGGUGACCGGCCACAUUGGGACUGAGAUACGGCCCAGACUCCUACGGGAGGCAGCAGUGGGGAAUAUUGCACAAUGGGUGGAAGCCUGAUGCAGCAACGCCGUGUGCGGGAUGACGGCCUUCGGGUUGUAAACCGCUUUCGCUCAUGACGAAGCUUUGUGUGACGGUAGUGGGUAAAGAAGCACCGGCUAACUACGUG